RNAcentral lists this ribosomal RNA (466 nucleotides) under uncultured bacterium. Its description in RNAcentral is "bacterial SSU rRNA". It matches the Rfam family "Bacterial small subunit ribosomal RNA", at positions 338 to 795 of the family's 1533-position model. The record is from RNAcentral.
CCUACGGGAUGCAGCAGUGGGGAAUAUUGCACAAUGGACGCAAGCCUGAUGCAGCCAUGCCGCGUGUAUGAAGAAGGCCUUCGGGUUGUAAAGUACUUUCAGCGGGGAGGAAGGUGUUGAGGUUAAUAACCUCAGCAAUUGACGUUACCCGCAGAAUGAAGCACCGGCUAACUCCGUGCCAGCAGCCGCGGUAAUACGGAGGGUGCAAGCGUUAAUCGGAAUUACUGGGCGUAAAGCGCACGCAGGCGGUCUGUCAAGUCGGAUGUGAAAUCCCCGGGCUCAACCUGGGAACUGCAUUCGAAACUGGCAGGCUAGAGUCUUGUAGAGGGGGGUAGAAUUCCAGGUGUAGCGGUGAAAUGCGUAGAGAUCUGGAGGAAUACCGGUGGCGAAGGCGGCCCCCUGGACAAAGACUGACGCUCAGGUGCGAAAGCGUGGGGAGCAAGCAGGAUUAGAUACCCCGGUAGUC